CAUGCAAGUCGAACGGAAAGGCCCCUUCGGGGGUACCCGAGUGGCGAACGGGUGAGUAACACGUGGGUGAUCUGCCCUGCACUUUGGGAUAAGCCUGGGAAACUGGGUCUAAUACCGAAUACACCUCAUGGGAUGCAUGUUUUGUGGGGGAAAGCUUUUGCGGUGUGGGAUGGGCCCGCGGCCUAUCAGCUUGUUGGUGAGGUUACGGCUCACCAAGGCGACGACGGGUAGCCGGCCUGAGAGGGUGUCCGGCCACACUGGGACUGAGAUACGGCCCAGACUCCUACGGGAGGCAGCAGUGGGGAAUAUUGCACAAUGGGCGCAAGCCUGAUGCAGCGACGCCGCGUGAGGGAUGACGGCCUUCGGGUUGUAAACCUCUUUCGCCAGGGACGAAGCGCAAGUGACGGUACCUGGAGAAGAAGCACCGGCCAACUACGUGCCAGCAGCCGCGGUAAUACGUAGGGUGCGAGCGUUGUCCGGAAUUACUGGGCGUAAAGAGCUCGUAGGUGGUUUGUCGCGUUGUUCGUGAAAACUCACA
Molecule: ribosomal RNA, 538 nt
Filed under: uncultured Mycobacterium sp.
Lineage: Bacteria; Bacillati; Actinomycetota; Actinomycetes; Mycobacteriales; Mycobacteriaceae
Description: bacterial SSU rRNA
Rfam family: Bacterial small subunit ribosomal RNA
Source: RNAcentral